UGGGGAAUUUUGCGCAAUGGGGGAAACCCUGACGCAGCAACGCCGCGUGGAGGAUGAAGUCUCUUGGGACGUAAACUCCUUUCGAUAGGGAAGAUAAUGACGGUACCUAUAGAAGAAGCCCCGGCUAACUUCGUGCCAGCAGCCGCGGUAAUACGAGGGGGGCAAGCGUUGUUCGGAAUUAUUGGGCGUAAAGGGCGCGUAGGCGGUUUGGCAAGUUUGGUGUGAAAUCUUCGGGCUCAACUCGAAGUCUGCAUCGAAAACUGCCGGGCUUGAGUAUGGGAGAGGUGAGUGGAAUUUCCGGUGUAGCGGUGAAAUGCGUAGAUAUCGGAAGGAACACCUGUGGCGAAAGCGGCUCACUGGACCAUUACUGACGCUGAGGCGCGAAAGCUAGGGGAGCAAACAGGAUUAGAUACCCCCGUAGUCC
RNAcentral lists this ribosomal RNA (424 nucleotides) under uncultured bacterium. RNAcentral's name for it is "bacterial SSU rRNA". It matches the Rfam family "Bacterial small subunit ribosomal RNA", at positions 355 to 796 of the family's 1533-position model. The record is from RNAcentral.